GGAAGCAAUUUUCUAACAUAUCGAAUUCUUUUAAUCAACUCUCUCUCUCUUUAAAAUCAAAUACCGAAACACUUACUGAAACCACCUCCUCCGUCUCUCUGGCCGAUUACUUGCGGAGAAAAAUUCUUGGGCUACCCACCUCGACUCAACAAACUACAAUACUCCAUCUUCAACAGAUAGCUUCAUCUAACAAUCUACCUCCAAUCCUAUAACUGUUACAUGUUUUAAUGGCUGGUUUCACAGAAUCAGAGAAUAAGAGUGGAACUGGGGAAAGCCGAUGUGAAGCUUCUUCAGAGAAGCUGCCGGGAAUACAACUCUGGCCGACUCUGUAGCCAAAUCUUGGGAAGCCGUAUCAGGCCUUGGUCCCUGGUGAAAUUCUACGGCUUGUUCUGUAUCAUCAUUCAAGCAUCAUAAUCCUAUAUCAGUAGCACAAGCACACAAAUGCAGCUGCUAUGGCUUUAUUGUAUGGGUUCCUUUUUGGAGCAUCAUGUGCUCUGUGCUUAUUGCAACCAGUUAUAAUUAGUGCUCACAGAAGGUUUCAACUAUUUUGUAUCUCUUUCGGAUAGAUAGCCAUGUAAAACGUCUUGAUGAAGAUCUAAUCAACUUUGCAGAAGAUCUAAGACAAGAUGAACCUGCUAUUCUUCCUCCGCUGCCUAUGGUACUGAAAACUGAAAACCGCAAGUCCUUUUAUGGAGCACCUCAGUCAAAAAAGGUAGAUUAUAGAGACACAGAAUGGGAUGGAGAGCUUGAUAGGGAUUUUGAGCUAAUGCCUCCCCAGGAAGCCAUAAGAAGGAUUUUGCUACACCUGCUGAUGUUGAUCAGCCUAAUGACCCCAAUGAACUUAUCUACUGUGUCUGUCAUCAGGUAAUGUUUUCUGCCUCACAAUUUUUCUUGACCCCAAUGAACUUACCUACUGUGUCUCUCAUCAAGUAAUGUUUUCUGCCUCACAAUUUUUCUUUCUUUUUAAGGAAAAUAAGUUAACAUCCAUUCUCCUGUUCAUUUUUUUUUGUCGAGACUUUGGUAUGAUACUGAAGUGCUGUAAUGUAAUUUUCAUAACCAUCUGAUGUCAUUUGGAGAUAUGAUCACCUAUGACAAUGAAAUUGUGAGUUUAUAAUUUUGAUUUCUUCCUCUUAUUCUCUGCUCCAUUUCCUUCAUUUCAGUUCACAUUUAGGCAUUAGAUACUAAAGAUUUUCAAAGUAAAUUGAGAUUGCAGUACAUUUUAUUACAAUU
Carica papaya (papaya) is the source of this 1230-nucleotide non-coding RNA. NCBI's taxonomy places the organism in Eukaryota, Viridiplantae, Streptophyta, Magnoliopsida, Brassicales, Caricaceae. The record is from RefSeq and is a predicted model, not a curated record.